UGCAGUCGAGCGGAAGGCCCUUCGGGGUACUCGAGCGGCGAACGGGUGAGUAACACGUGAGCAACCUGCCCCAGGCUUUGGGAUAACCCCGGGAAACCGGGGCUAAUACCGGAUAUGACCUUGCACCGCAUGGUGUUUGGUGGAAAGUUUUUCGGCUUGGGAUGGGCUCGCGGCCUAUCAGCUUGUUGGUGGGGUGAUGGCCUACCAAGGCGACGACGGGUAGCCGGCCUGAGAGGGCGACCGGCCACACUGGGACUGAGACACGGCCCAGACUCCUACGGGAGGCAGCAGUGGGGAAUAUUGCACAAUGGGCGGAAGCCUGAUGCAGCGACGCCGCGUGAGGGAUGACGGCCUUCGGGUUGUAAACCUCUUUCAGCAGGGACGAAGCGUAAGUGACGGUACCUGCAGAAGAAGCGCCGGCCAACUACGUGCCAGCAGCCGCGGUAAGACGUAGGGCGCGAGCGUUGUCCGGAUUUAUUGGGCGUAAAGAGCUCGUAGGCGGCUUGUCGCGUCGACCGUGAAAACCUGGGGCUCAACCCCAGGCCUGCGGUCGAUACGGGCAGGCUAGAGUUCGGUAGGGGAGACUGGAAUUCCUGGUGUAGCGGUGA
This 608-nucleotide ribosomal RNA is filed under the name Micromonospora sp. RM577. RNAcentral's name for it is "bacterial SSU rRNA". It matches the Rfam family "Bacterial small subunit ribosomal RNA", at positions 56 to 684 of the family's 1533-position model. Lineage: Bacteria; Bacillati; Actinomycetota; Actinomycetes; Micromonosporales; Micromonosporaceae. The record is from RNAcentral.